GGCGGCGUGCUUAACACAUGCAAGUCGAACGAUGAACCACUUCGGUGGGGAUUAGUGGCGAACGGGUGAGUAACACGUGGGCAAUCUGCCCUUCACUCUGGGACAAGCCCUGGAAACGGGGUCUAAUACCGGAUACCACUCUCGCAGGCAUCUGUGAGGGUUGAAAGCUCCGGCGGUGAAGGAUGAGCCCGCGGCCUAUCAGCUUGUUGGUGAGGUAAUGGCUCACCAAGGCGACGACGGGUAGCCGGCCUGAGAGGGCGACCGGCCACACUGGGACUGAGACACGGCCCAGACUCCUACGGGAGGCAGCAGUGGGGAAUAUUGCACAAUGGGCGAAAGCCUGAUGCAGCGACGCCGCGUGAGGGAUGACGGCCUUCGGGUUGUAAACCUCUUUCAGCAGGGAAGAAGCGAAAGUGACGGUACCUGCAGAAGAAGCGCCGGCUAACUACGUGCCAGCAGCCGCGGUAAUACGUAGGGCGCAAGCGUUGUCCGGAAUUAUUGGGCGUAAAGAGCUCGUAGGCGGCUUGUCACGUCGAUUGUGAAAGCCCGAGGCUUAACCUCGGGUCUGCAGUCGAUACGGGCUAGCUAGAGUGUGGUAGGGGAGAUCGGAAUUCCUGGUGUAGCGGUGAAAUGCGCAGAUAUCAGGAGGAACACCGGUGGCGAAGGCGGAUCUCUGGGCCAUUACUGACGCUGAGGAGCGAAAGCGUGGGGAGCGAACAGGAUUAGAUACCCUGGUAGUCCACGCCGUAAACGGUGGGAACUAGGUGUUGGCGACAUUCCACGUCGUCGGUGCCGCAGCUAACGCAUUAAGUUCCCCGCCUGGGGAGUACGGCCGC
This 836-nucleotide ribosomal RNA is filed under the name Streptomyces sp. IM-7145. Its description in RNAcentral is "bacterial SSU rRNA". It matches the Rfam family "Bacterial small subunit ribosomal RNA", at positions 38 to 889 of the family's 1533-position model. The record is from RNAcentral. Lineage: Bacteria; Bacillati; Actinomycetota; Actinomycetes; Kitasatosporales; Streptomycetaceae.